UUAAAUAUGUACACGUGGCAAUUGAUGAGGGUGUUGAUGUUUUAGUUUUGGCGCAAUUCCCCUUCUCCGCCUUUUGUUAACGUGUUUGGAUCUUAUUUUGAGUAACCCGAUCUCCUCUCAAAUCUAAUGUAUUAUCCUUCUCCGAUUGAUUGAAUCGAAACAAAGGUAUGCAAUCAAGGUUUUGAUCUUGAACCUCUUGGUUUUCUUCAAGGAAAAGGCAGUUUUUUGUUUGCAAUUGCUUAUAUCAGCCGCACAGUUGCGUAUUGAUGCGAGCUGCAAUAAUGAUGUUAUAAUUGUGGUUGCUUAUAAAGUAACAAAAUUCCAGUUACAACAUCUCAUUUGCUUUUAAGAAAGAUAAAAAACAGAUAGAGGAUUUAUAUCCAAGUGAUACCUCAUUAGGGGCCCUGAUGGAUUUACUUUAAAGAAGGCAAAACGCCUAUGGCAAAAAAAGGUACAAUCUUUUAAUUAGCAAGGAAAACAAAAUUAUAAAACAAAGAUAUGAUAUUUCAAGAAUUCUAAGGCGUGGUUGGUUCUUUAACCGGUUCGGUUAAUAACCGUUUUUUUCGGUUAGUCAACCGGUUUCCCUUUUUUUGUUUAUUUGGUUAAUCAGUAAAUCGGUUAAACCGGUUGAAAAAAUUGAUUAAUAACCCAUUCCACUAAGCUGUUACUACUCUAAUGGUUAUUAACCGGUUUCAGUUUCGAUUAACAAACCGGUUAUAAUGUGCACCUCUAAACAUGGUCCUUAGAAACAGAAUUGAACAUUAUUACUCUUAAUAUAACCUGUUUCUAUUAUAUAUUUAAAUCUCUUUUUGAAAUUUUUAUUCUCUCAAAUAACACAUUUCCAUUUUAUUAGAAAAUAUUAUUAUUGAAUGAAAGACAAUUUAUGCGAUUCUCAAAGAAAUAAGUUUUUAUUAAAAGUGUAUUUUUUAACUUAGAGAAAUUUGCUCAAAUUUUAUCAUUUAGCAAGUCAAAAACAAGCAAUUUUUAAGAACCAGUUAUUAAAUCAUACAAGAUUGAGCUUAAAAAUGGUUCAACCCAUUGAACCGGGUUGUACAUGACGGUUAGUUAAUGGAUUAUACUUUAGAAUUGAAUAUGAUGAUUAAUAAAAAUAAGUAGAUGCCGACGUAUUUCAGUUUAAUGUCGGUUUAACUGUUGACCGUUAAAAGCUAGCCGAGAGUCACCAACCAGAUUCGACCAAUAUCAAAUAUCGGUUUUAUACACCGAACCCAUUUUGACUUGCCCCUACUUCAUACUAUGUUCCAUGGUAGCCGAAGAAACAUGACCCAUUGCAACAGGUCCUGGAACAAAAAUAGGUCGGUCGUUACAUUCACCAAAGGAGGUCUGAGUUGAAAAGGUCUGCAAGGAUAAACAUAAGCAGCCUCGGAUUUGACAGGAUGUUAGUCAUGUCAAGGGGUGAGAUGACGUGCAAGCCUGCCUUCUUUGUGUUUAGAAGUUUCUUUUUGUGCUUAAAAACGCCCCCUCGCAUAUGGUGAAUGAUCUUCCGUUAAAGCUCCAAGGUUUUGUCCUCGAAAUUAGUGAAAGGCAAAUAUAAAUAACACAAAGGCUUAAGAAGUUGGAAGGAACUCAGAGUAAUCAAAGUGAAAUUUCGAAUCUCAUUCAUGAUGUCGCAACUAUAUUAAACUACAGAUACCAUGAGUUUCCUUGGCUUUGGCUGUGGCUAGCUGAAGAGUAAAAGAAAUCCAGAAAUGAUGAUUGCCAUUUGCACAAAACUAAAAAAUGUAAGUCAUAGUCAUGUUACUCUUUCAUUGCCAUUUGUAAACUUAGUUUUUCUUUGAUUGCGACAGCGGCUGGUGUACACUCACAUGGAGUGGUUCUCAUGUAAAUAUUCCCACUUCAUAGUU
RNAcentral lists this long non-coding RNA (1862 nucleotides) under Helianthus annuus (common sunflower). Its description in RNAcentral is "hypothetical non coding rna". Lineage: Eukaryota; Viridiplantae; Streptophyta; Magnoliopsida; Asterales; Asteraceae. The record is from RNAcentral.